Eriocheir sinensis (Chinese mitten crab) is the source of this 3646-nucleotide long non-coding RNA. RefSeq lists it as uncharacterized. The transcript is spliced from 2 exons. NCBI's taxonomy places the organism in Eukaryota, Metazoa, Arthropoda, Malacostraca, Decapoda, Varunidae. The record is from RefSeq and is a predicted model, not a curated record.
UAGUAAAAUAUGAAGCUAUUUUGAAAAGCAUAUUGGUUUAGUUACUCUUAAAAUAUGGCUUGAUUCUGAGUUUAGUAAAAUAUGAAGCUAUUCUGAAAAGUAUAUUUGUUUUGUUACUCUUAAAAUAUGACAAUUCUGAGCUUCCAUAAACUGUACCAAUCAAACCACCCAGUGCUUAGUAAAAUAUGAAGCUAUUUUGAAAAGCAUAUCGGUUUAGUUACUCUUAAAAUAUGACGAAUCUGACCUUUCAUAAAUUCUACUAUAUAAACCAGCCUAGUAAAAUAUUGAGCUAUUCUGAGAAGUAUAUUGGAUUGGGGUUAACUCUUAAAAUAUGGGUUUAUUCUGACCAUCUUCCAAAUAAACUGUCUGAUGCUUACUAAAAUAUGGCUCUGUUGUGAAGGGUAUAUCGUGUUACUUGCGUUCUGGGUUUGUUACAACACUCUCCAGAGUACCACAGUAAAAUAUUUUGCACUAGACGUAAGCUAUGGUGUCGUUCUGCCCAUGUAAUACCACUAGAAAAAUACACUUAUCUCAGGAACAGCUGGCAACGAAGAGGUGCAGAAACAUAACAAAAGUGACGAACUAGAUGGUAACAGCGGUGCAUUGUGGCGUAAGGAAUGGCACGGUGUUAAUACCCUGAUGUGCUUGACGGGAAAACGAAAACACGUCGAUACUUGAGAACGUAAGACCGAAACGACAACAUAAAAGACUCAGAUAAAAAACAGAUAGAUAAUAAAUGGAAUAAGAGGGAUAAAAAUAAGAGCUCAUAGGGAAAUCAACAAUGCAUAGAUAGAUAGUACCUCGGAAAGCCUAAACGACAACAUAAAAGACUCGGAUAAAAAAUAGGUAGAUAAUAAAUGGGAUAAUAGAGGGAUAAUAAAUGGAAUGAACUCUAAUAAUAGCUUGUAGGGAAAUCAACAAUGUAUAGAUAAUUUAGCUACGUAAGACCGAAACGACAACAUAAAAAAGACUUGGAUAAAAAAAAAUAGGAGUGAAAAUAAAUGGGAUAGAGGGAUAAUAGGUGGAAUGAACUAUAAGAGCUCACAGGGAAAUCAUGAAUGUAUAGAUAAUUUAGCUACGUAAGACCGAAACGACAACUUAAAAAAGGCGGAUAAACAAAUAGGAGUGAAAAUAAAUGGGAUAAUAUAGGGAUAAUAGGUGGAAUGAACUAUUAGAGCUCACAGGGAAAUCAUGAAUGUAUAGAUAAUUUAGCUACGUAAGACCGAAACGACAACUUAAAAAAGGCGGAUAAAAAAAUAGGAGUGAAAAUAAAUGGGAUAAUAUAGGGAUAAUAAAUGGAAUGAACUAUAAGAGCUCGCAGGGAAAUCAACAAUGUAAAGAUAAUUGAGCUACGUAAAAGGCCUAACAAUACGUAUGACCAGAACGAUAACAAAGGUGGCUCGGAUAAAACAACAGGCGAGAUAAUAAAUGGAAUGAACUAUAAGUGCUUGAAGAAUGUGAAUAGGAAAGACGACAGCAAAGUAAUCACAAUAUAUGGCCGUGGUGGAGGAAAAUCUGGAUACAGUCGUCCCUCAAAUAGUAUGGUUUCCAAAAGUUCGGUUUCAGUUUUAUGUGGAUUUUCAUUGAAGAUUUUUUAAGGAUUUUUUAAUUUCCCGACGAGCAGGAAAUUUAAAAAUCCUUAAAGAUCUUCCAUGACAAUCCGUAUAAAACCGAAACCAAACUAUUGGAAACCGUACUAUUUGAGGGACGGCUGUAUAUGUUACUUGGUCAAAACACAACUUCCGAAAAUACUGACGCGGAAUCAUAAAUGAGUCUUGAUUUUGAAGCUACAGAACCCUUAAAUGUAAUAGUUAAAUAAAUAGAGAAGAAUGUGAAUGUGUAAGAAAGACAACAGCGAAUGAUCAUAAUAAAUGGCUGUGCUGGAGGAAAAUCUGGAUAUAUGUUACUUGGGCAAAACACAACUUCCGAAAAUACUGACGUUGAAUCAUAAAUGAGUCUUGAUAUCGAAGCUACAGAACCCUUAAAUGUAAUAGUUAAAUAAAUAGAGAAGAAUGUGAAUAUAUAAGAAAGACAACAGCGAAUGAUCAUAAUAAAUGGCUGUGCUGGAGGAACGCUGGAAAUACACAACUUGGUCAAAACACAACUUCCGAAAAUACUGACGCAGAAUCAUAAAGCACUCUGUCUUGGUACCAAAGCUCCAGAACCUUAAAAUAUAAUAAAUAAAUAAAACCAAUAAAUACAUGAAUUGAUAAAUUACUUAAGUACAGAUGAACAUUAGGUGAUAAAAGCAAACUGUGUGUGUUGUUAAGUACUCUGAAAAAACAGGACAAGAAUUCCGACUUAUAAGGAACCGAAAACAAAAUGAAAGUAGCUGAGAGGCGGUGGCUGAGUGGUUAGCGUGCAAGCGUGGUGAGCCCGUGGAAUUAAGUUCGAGUCCCACCAAAACACACUGAUUUUUCAAGUCAUUGUCGAGAGGCGGAAGAUUACCCACAUGCUGCCCAGACCUUCAGUCAACCCUAACUUCAGCGACUUCAUUCAAGUGGAGCACCGGGGGCAGCAUGGGCCAAGCUGAGUCGUAUAUCAAGGCAGCCACUAUAAAUAAAAUUCGUCUGAACCCCUAACAGGCUGGGGCCAAAAAAUAAAUAACUAAAUAAAUAAAUAAAUAAAAAAUACUUGCCGAGACAAACCUGAAUUGAAGGAUUUGAAAAAAUAAAAUAAAAUUGCUGAGAAUAAUCUGAAUGAAUAACCAAGACGACAAGUCCGACUUAAAGGAUUUGAAAGGAAAAAAAAAAAAAAAUCACCGAGAAUAUAUCUGACUGAAUAAUCAAAGACUACAAAUCCGAGUUAAACGAUUUGAAAACGUUAUGAAAAUCGUCGAGAAUAAUCUAUUGGUAACUGCUUUGGGGUUAACAUUUGCAUUGCUUUUGUCAAUGUUAGUUAAGCUUGAAUGAAAAAGUUGAAACUAUGACUGAAUAACCAAAGACGACAAACAUGACUUAAAAGAAUUGCAAAUGAAAUUAAAAUCGCCAAAAUUAAUCUACAACUUAACAUCCAAAGACGGCAAAUCCAACUUAGACGAUCUGGAAACAUAGUGAAAAUGUCCUAAAAUGGAAUUAAAAAGAGAAACUAACCACAUAACUGUUAAUAAAUACUAUGCUAUGUGAAAAUCAGUCCUCAAAAAUAUCAUCGAAAAGAGAAACUAACCACAUGACUUAAUCAAUACUAACAAACCUAAAAUAUCUGGUGUUUGUUAUUUGUUGGAACUCUGACGUGGAAUGCUGGUGUUGACGGACGAGGAAGUGCAGUGCCUUACAGAACAGUGUAGCCGACCCUCUAGUGAGCGCGUGAGGCACCGAGGAAAUUCAAGCAAGAUGGAGGUGUUAUCUUAAUGAACCUUAGCAAUUUGGGACUAGUGGAGCUUUUUUUUCUUUGUGUGUGUGUGUGUGUGUGUGUGUGUGUGUGUGUGUCCAGGCCAAGGGUGUGUCAUAUGGAAACCCUUAAAAAAAAGCACUAAAUGAAGGUCUAAUGUACUUUUUAUGUGUGUGUGUGUGUGUGUGUGUGUGCUGUUCCUACCUUCUUUCUCUUCUCUCUCCCUCUUUUAUGCUUUCUUUUCAUCUCUCUCUCUCUCUCUCUCUCUCUCUCUCUCUCUCUCUCUCUCUCUCUCUCUCUCUCUCUCUCUCUCCCU